This is a non-coding RNA of Pantoea sp. PSNIH1, 377 nucleotides long. NCBI's taxonomy places the organism in Bacteria, Pseudomonadati, Pseudomonadota, Gammaproteobacteria, Enterobacterales, Erwiniaceae. The record is from Rfam.
GAAGCUGACCAGACAGUCGCCGCUUUGUCGUCGUCCCUUUCGGGGGAGACAGGCAGAGGGGAGGAAAGUCCGGGCUCCACAGGGCAGGGUGCCAGGUAACGCCUGGGGGGCGCAAGCCUACGACCAGUGCAACAGAGAGCAAACCGCCGAUGGCCCGGAAACGGGAUCAGGUAAGGGUGAAAGGGUGCGGUAAGAGCGCACCGCGCGGCUGGCAACAGUCCGUGGCACGGUAAACUCCACCCGGAGCAAGGCCAAAUAGGGGUUCACAUGGUACGGCCCGUACUGAACCCGGGUAGGCUGCUUGAGCCAGUGAGCGAUUGCUGGCCUAGAUGAAUGACUGUCCACGACAGAACCCGGCUUAUCGGUCAGUUUCGACU